AAUUAUUUUAUCUUAUUCAAAGAUAAACUUUCUCUCCAUUUGGUUUGAGAGUUGUCAAGUUCUUUCGCUCCUAUAUGGAUCAUAUUAGUAUCAGAGCAUUUUGAUCCUACCUGUAUAUGGUUAAGAUUAAAAGUGGUUACAAGGAGACUAGAGAACCAUUUUCUAUUCUCAACAUUCACUGAAGACCCUAAAAAACAUCCAUAAGUUUUGAGUCUGUCAUAAUGGCAUAAGACUCUAUUGUAGUCAACUUGGUCAGCAAAUUGCUAACCUGUUCGAAAAGAUGGAAAAAGUUAUGUCUUUUAUGGAGGAUUAAUCUCGUGAUGAUUCUGAUAAAAACUCCAUAGAGACAAUUAAAAGUCCCAGCCUGAGUUUAAGAACAAAGAACAAAAAUCAGUCUCCUUAAGAAGAGGAAGAAGAGAGGUUAUCAAGACCUUUUAAGAUGGAGGCAAAAAUUGACAUUUCAUCAUAUGACGGUUCANNN
This 481-nucleotide long non-coding RNA is filed under the name Carica papaya (papaya). Its description in RNAcentral is "long non-coding RNA (CPAP_LNC012569)". Lineage: Eukaryota; Viridiplantae; Streptophyta; Magnoliopsida; Brassicales; Caricaceae. The record is from RNAcentral.